This 178-nucleotide antisense RNA is filed under the name Mastigocoleus testarum BC008. RNAcentral describes it as "Antisense RNA which regulates isiA expression". It matches the Rfam family "Antisense RNA which regulates isiA expression". Lineage: Bacteria; Bacillati; Cyanobacteriota; Cyanophyceae; Nostocales; Hapalosiphonaceae. The record is from Rfam by way of RNAcentral.
AAUAACCGAAGAUAAUUUUUGGAUCCAGAGUAGGAUUAUCAAUUAAACGCACUUCUGCAAUAUUCGCAUCAUAAAUUCCCCCAAAGAACAUUGCCUUUGCAACUAAGAGCAAUGCUCCAAACCCUAAAAUGAUUAAGUGAUGACCCAAGAUAAAGCCUAACUUCUUCGGGUCGUACCA